UUUUUUUUUUGUUUAUUUAAUUUUUGUAAUUUUUCUUUUUAUUAUUAAUUUUUUUCUGUUAAGGUUUGAGUGAAUAUUUGUUAUUUACCUUUUGUAUAAGGGGGGCUAGAUCUUUUUUAAUUUUAUUUUUUUAGAAUCUUUGAGAUUUUUAAUUUUUUAUUUUUUGUGAGAUUGUUUUAAAUUUAGUUAAUGUGGCUAUAUGCUUUCGUUCUUAGGGUUAUCUAUUUAAAAAGAGAAGUGGGGGUAAGCCCCUUUUUUUCUUAUUUAAUUGUUUUUUUUUAUUUUUCUCUAAUAGUUGGGUUUUGUGUAAUAACUUUUAUUUUUUAAUUCUUAAGAUUUUUUUUUAUUUUUAUUAAUUUCUUUUAAUUAGAUUAUUAGUAUAGUUUUUUUUCUUUUUCUUUUUAUUUUUUUUUCUUUUGUUUAUUUUUUAUUUUUUAAUUAUUACUUUUUGAAAAGUUUAUUAAAAUCCUUUCUUACUUUUUGUAAGUCUCUUCUGCCCAGUGAGAAUUACUUAAAUGGCUGUGGUUUCCACACUAAGGUAGCGAAAUCACUAGUUACUUAAUUGGUAACUUGUAUGAGGGGGGUUUUCAACGGGUUAUUGUUUUAUUUUUGUAAAUUAUAUUUUUUUUGAAAAUAAUAACUUAUUCUUUAAGACAAAAAGACCCUAGAAUUUUUAUAGUUUUAUUUGGUUGGGGCAACAAUAAGUAUUUUUAAUACUUAAAAUUUUAUUUUUUAAGGACUUUUAUUAAAGAUGGGUGGAAAAAUACUCUAGGGAUAACAGCUUUAUACUUUUUUAAAGUUCUUAUAGUUAAAGGGUUUUGGGACCUCGAUGUUGGAUUGGGGUGGGUUUGUGGUGCAGAAGCUUUAUUGACCUAGACUGUUCGUCUAUUAAAUCCCCACAUGAUCUGAGUUAAAGUCGGCGUGAGCCAGACUGGAUUUUAUCUAAAGUUUAUUUAGAGAGUUACUUUCUAGUACGAAAGGAUUGUUUGUUUUUUAUACUAUAUUAUAGUUGGUGAAGAAUGUUA
This 1025-nucleotide ribosomal RNA is filed under the name Thyreophagus entomophagus. RNAcentral describes it as "16S ribosomal RNA". The stretch from base 647 to 948 matches the Rfam family "Archaeal large subunit ribosomal RNA", at positions 2150 to 2716 of the family's 2987-position model. The record is from RNAcentral. Lineage: Eukaryota; Metazoa; Arthropoda; Arachnida; Sarcoptiformes; Acaridae.